This 559-nucleotide ribosomal RNA is filed under the name Niallia circulans. RNAcentral's name for it is "bacterial SSU rRNA". It matches the Rfam family "Bacterial small subunit ribosomal RNA", at positions 332 to 886 of the family's 1533-position model. The record is from RNAcentral. Lineage: Bacteria; Bacillati; Bacillota; Bacilli; Caryophanales; Bacillaceae.
CUGUCUACGAGGGGAGCAGUAGGGAAUCUUCCGCAAUGGACGAAAGUCUGACGGAGCAACGCCGCGUGAGUGAUGAAGGUUUUCGGAUCGUAAAACUCUGUUGUUAGGGAAGAACAAGUACAAGAGUAACUGCUUGUACCUUGACGGUACCUAACCAGAAAGCCACGGCUAACUACGUGCCAGCAGCCGCGGUAAUACGUAGGUGGCAAGCGUUGUCCGGAAUUAUUGGGCGUAAAGCGCGCGCAGGCGGUCCUUUAAGUCUGAUGUGAAAGCCCACGGCUCAACCGUGGAGGGUCAUUGGAAACUGGGGGACUUGAGUGCAGAAGAGAAGAGUGGAAUUCCACGUGUAGCGGUGAAAUGCGUAGAGAUGUGGAGGAACACCAGUGGCGAAGGCGACUCUUUGGUCUGUAACUGACGCUGAGGCGCGAAAGCGUGGGGAGCAAACAGGAUUAGAUACCCUGGUAGUCCACGCCGUAAACGAUGAGUGCUAAGUGUUAGAGGGUUUCCGCCCUUUAGUGCUGCAGCAAACGCAUUAAGCACUCCGCCUGGAGAGCCCCCC